UUUCAAGAGGCGGCGCGGCCUCCAAAUCACUCCUACGAUACCUUGGCGAGGGGCGAGAGAAGGUAUGAUGAAACCGUGAAACAAUACUGGCGCACGGGCGCCAACGUGGCGACACAUUUCUUGAAGGGCGGGCAUUUUAGAGAGAGAGAGAGAGAGAGAGAGGAUGGUGAGGAAGAGGAGAGGGAGGCGUGUGUUCGAAAUCCACAAAGUGCUGCAGCAUUAGAGGCGAUCAGGAGGAGACAAAAGCUCGGCAGCAGCAGGGGUUUACCCCCCGACACAAAGACACAAAGACACAAAGACAGACGCUACGCAGCCCAGCCAAGCCGCAGCGCCGCACCAGCCUCCACUGGAGCCGCGCGAUCCACCCGUCUGCAGGGCGCAAAUAGCACCGCGUCAGGGUGCCCGGAAGCGUCCCCCCGACCCUUCGCCUGGAACGCUGACCGGCUAGCGAGGGCGGUACCCGGCGAAGACGGCGACUAAAACAUAAACCGAGUCACUCUCUAGUGUGCAGGAUUCGGGGACAUCUGUUGGUGGGUUUGCAGAUUGCAACCCGAUGAAACUUUAGUCGCGUGUGUCGAGCGUGAAGGAGAACUACGGUGGCCGUGAUGAAAACCCAAAACCACGGUGGCCCCCUGAAGAGAACCUCUGUACGCACGUAUACGCCGAUUCUUUUUUUCCGGUCAGUAUACACACUUGAUGAUAUUCCAUAUUCAAUGUUUUCAAUAGCGUCCCCCUUAAUGCUACAUGUACCUGUACCUUUAAGAGAUCAAAGUCAAGCUAUUUACUGGUUUAGUCCUAAAAGUAAUGCAAUCAC
Gasterosteus aculeatus aculeatus (three-spined stickleback) is the source of this 814-nucleotide long non-coding RNA. The record is from Ensembl. NCBI's taxonomy places the organism in Eukaryota, Metazoa, Chordata, Actinopteri, Perciformes, Gasterosteidae.